GACGAACGCUGGCGGCGUGCUUAACACAUGCAAGUCGAACGGAAAGGCCCUGCUUUUGUGGGGUGCUCGAGUGGCGAACGGGUGAGUAACACGUGAGUAACCUGCCCUUGACUUUGGGAUAACUUCAGGAAACUGGGGCUAAUACCGGAUAGGAGCUCCUGCUGCAUGGUGGGGGUUGGAAAGUUUCGGCGGUUGGGGAUGGACUCGCGGCUUAUCAGCUUGUUGGUGGGGUAGUGGCUUACCAAGGCUUUGACGGGUAGCCGGCCUGAGAGGGUGACCGGCCAAAUGGGGACUGAGAUACGGCCCAGACUCCUACGGGGGGCAGCAGGGGGGAAUAUUGCAAAAGGGGCGGAAGCGUGAUGCAGCAACGCCGCGGGCGGGAGGACGGCCUUCGGGUUGUAAACCGCUUUCGCCUGUGACGAAGCGGGAGUGACGGUAAUGGGGAAAGAAGCACCGGCUAACUACGG
This 467-nucleotide ribosomal RNA is filed under the name uncultured bacterium. Its description in RNAcentral is "partial 16S ribosomal RNA". It matches the Rfam family "Bacterial small subunit ribosomal RNA", at positions 28 to 506 of the family's 1533-position model. The record is from RNAcentral.